Molecule: ribosomal RNA, 499 nt
Filed under: uncultured bacterium
Lineage: Bacteria
Description: partial 16S ribosomal RNA
Rfam family: Bacterial small subunit ribosomal RNA
Source: RNAcentral
GACGAACGCUGGCGGCGUGCCUAAUACAUGCAAGUCGAGCGAAGAUUUUCUGGUGCUUGCACCGGAAAAACUGAGCGGCGAAUGGGUGAGUAACACGUAAAGAACCUGCCUCAUAGACUGGGACAACUAUUGCAAAGGAUAGCUAAUACCAGAUAACAGCAUUAAAUGCAUGGUUGAGGAUAGAAUGUUGGUUUUGCUAACACCAUGAGGUGUCUUUGCGUUGUAUUAGCUAGGUGGUGGGGUAAAGGCCUACCAAGGCGACGAUGCAUAGACGACGUGAGAGAGUGAUCGGCCACCUGAGAACUGAGACGCGGCCCUGACUACUGCGGGACGCAGCAGUAGGGUAUGUGCCGCAAUGGGCGAGAGUCUGACGGAACAGCGCCGCGUGAGUGAAGGAAGCUUUCGGUUCGUAAAGCUGUGUUGUGAGGGAAGAAUGGUUAUGUAGUAACAAUACAUAGUAGAGACGGUACCUAGCAAGGAAGCAACGGCUAACUACGUG